Molecule: ribosomal RNA, 253 nt
Filed under: uncultured bacterium
Lineage: Bacteria
Description: partial 16S ribosomal RNA
Rfam family: Bacterial small subunit ribosomal RNA
Source: RNAcentral
UACAGAGGUCUCAAGCGUUGUUCGGAUUCAUUGGGCGUAAAGGGCGCGUAGGCUGCGGGGCAAGUCGGGUGUGAAAUCUCAGAGCUCAACUCUGAAACUGCACUCGAUACUGCUUUGCUCGAGGACUGGAGAGGAGAUUGGAAUUCACGGUGUAGCAGUGAAAUGCGUAGAUAUCGUGAGGAAGACCAGUGGCGAAGGCGGAUCUCUGGACAGUUCCUGACGCUGAGGCGCGAAGGCCAGGGGAGCAAACAGG